Molecule: long non-coding RNA, 466 nt
Organism: Epinephelus lanceolatus (giant grouper)
Lineage: Eukaryota; Metazoa; Chordata; Actinopteri; Perciformes; Serranidae
Source: RefSeq, a predicted model, not a curated record
GCUAAAUCACGAAUAUUCGAGUGUUUUCGGGAAGAAUUAAGUUUUUAGUUUUUAAGGACCGCGAAGGAUAAAGAGAAGAGCAGCACCCGUAACUUCCUGACGGGACAACCGUUAACGUUACCCAGUUCUCAGGAAGCUCUGGCUGCUGGCCCUGCCGCCGCCGCCGCUGCCUCUUACUGACAGAGUCUGGACAGCAGGGGAGGGUAGAGCAUUCCUCCGGGGGGCUGGGACACUUCCAGCUGGGCAGCUGAGGUGUGGAGCUCGCCUCGGGAUUUUCAUCUGCAAUGGUGGUUGUCAAACAGCGAAGACAACAACUCCCAUGAUCCCAUGCUUCUUCACAACGUCAUCAAGAUUCUCUUCGAGGGAAAAUUCCCCUUUUCUCCAUUUCCCAUCGGCCAGCUUGUAACUCAAAAAGACACGCUUUAUUACACUUUGGAGGCGUCAGGCAGCAGUGGGCAGCAUGAAG